Molecule: small nuclear RNA, 108 nt
Filed under: Sinocyclocheilus rhinocerous
Lineage: Eukaryota; Metazoa; Chordata; Actinopteri; Cypriniformes; Cyprinidae
Source: RNAcentral
GUUUCCUGCAACAAGCGGCACAUAUACUAAAAUUGGAUCGAUACAGAGAAGAUUAGCAUGGCCCCUGCGAAAGAUGACACGCAAAUCCGUGAAGAGCUCCAUCUUUUU